UCUUCCACACACUCACUUUGCAUAAAUCCUUCAAAUAAUCUGUCAAAAGAGGAACAUCAUUUACAAUAGGAAAAAGAAAAACAGAACCAAUAAUUAAAGAAAAGAUAAAAAGGGAUAUCUACACAUGCAGUGCAGCUUCAAAACAAAACUUAGAAACAAUAAGCAUAAUAGUACUGGUCUAGCUAACAUGUCACAUAGACACUACAAUCAACCACCUCAGAUAAGAGAGCCUUCAACUUCUGAAGUUAUUUGUAUGAUUGCCGAGAGAUAUCAUAAGGUAUCAUGAGACAAGCAAAGUAAAACAGGGGAAAUCAUAAGGUAUCAUGAGAGAUCAAAACAUAUUAUCAAAUAUUAUCGGUGGAAAAUGAAUUAAUGAAACUUGAUCAAAACAAUGUUGCUCAUCAAGGCAUGUGGUUAUCAUAUGUCAAAACCAAUCCAAUAAUCAAUAAACCAUCUUCCCACAUUCUAAAUUUAAUUCACCUAGAUUUUCAUAUCAAAACGCUUUUUUUUCAAUCAAAACAAGGUUGAAACUUCACUAACCGCUAUCCCAAUUUCAGCAACACACCCGAAACCAACUAUUUUAUUAACAAUUAUUUAGUACAGCAGAGUAUAGUACACGGACACUGAAUAAUUUUUAAACAAGCAGAGUAAGCAAACAACAUGAAGAACAGUAAGAAUCAUAAUGUAAAACCAAAAAAUCCCUAAACUUUUGAUAGAUAGCUAGUGAUCUAAGAAUAUUAAAUCCAAAAGCAAAACCUACAGAUUUUGAGAAAUACCAAAUGAAAAUCGUAGAAAUAUAAAGGAAGAUGAGUGGAGGAAGAAGAAAACCAUUGUUGUCGUUCGAAAUCUGACCAUAACGCCCAAAACAUCUUCAAAUAUGUGUUCGACCGAACUUUCUAUUCUCCUCUUAGCUUACGCGGCAUCAAUUCUUGCAUUCCUGGAUGUUUUAGGGUUUAAGAGAUUAAAAGGAAAGGGCAUACUAAUAGAAAAACUGUAAACUCAGAAAACCUAGAUCUAUUGUUUAACGAGAAAAGAGAGAAAACCUGAACCAUCAGCGUUGUCAUGUCCCAUCGCGUAUUCGGUUGUAUUUGCCGUUAAUGUUCCAAUCAAGCUUCGAAAANNN
RNAcentral lists this long non-coding RNA (1123 nucleotides) under Trifolium pratense (red clover). RNAcentral describes it as "long non-coding RNA (TPRA_LNC002904)". The record is from RNAcentral. Lineage: Eukaryota; Viridiplantae; Streptophyta; Magnoliopsida; Fabales; Fabaceae.